AAACUUCACAAUGUGCGAAAGCACGAUGAGGGAAUCCCAAGUGCUUGCACGUAAGUGUAAGCUGUUUCUUUGUUUAAAACGCAUUGAGAGUAAGGGCUGGGUAGGACGGGUGCCAACCGCCGCGGUAAUACCUGCAGCUCAAGUGGUGGCCGCUAUUAUUGGGCCUAAAACGUCCGUAGCCGGUUUUAUAAAUGCCUGGGUAAAUCGGGCCGCUC
Molecule: ribosomal RNA, 215 nt
Filed under: uncultured archaeon
Lineage: Archaea
Description: partial 16S ribosomal RNA
Rfam family: Archaeal small subunit ribosomal RNA
Source: RNAcentral